This 88-nucleotide transfer RNA is filed under the name Immersiella caudata. Its description in RNAcentral is "Cercophora caudata tRNA-Pro". It matches the Rfam family "tRNA". From Rfam's summary of the family: Transfer RNA (tRNA) molecules are approximately 80 nucleotides in length. The record is from RNAcentral. Lineage: Eukaryota; Fungi; Ascomycota; Sordariomycetes; Sordariales; Lasiosphaeriaceae.
GGUUCGUUGGUCUAGCGGUAUGAUUCUCGCUUAGGGUGUACCCUGAGUCAAAUGCGAGAGGUCCCGGGUUCAAUCCCCGGACGAACCC